UUCUGGUAUUCAUCCAUCAGCAUCAGUUCCUGUGUGAGAAUCCUGUUCUGUGAGGUCAGCCAGGGUGGUGUGUGUGCACUUGUGUGGCUUCCAGUGUGACACCCACCCACACACUGUGCUAAUCAGGGUUCUGGCUGUGGGCAGGGGUGAAUUUGUUUCCCGCAGCAUCUUCACUUUUGUCCAAGAGUAUUCAUCUGAAGGGCUGGAUGCCAAAAAGAACAGGUUCGACUUGUCUGUGAGGAUUUACACCACAGUGAAAUGCACAACUGCUUUUGUAGAGGUCAUUGUGAAGGUCACGGAGCCAGAGCGCACCGCUGAAUGGGAGCAGCCUGGAACAAUGUGGUUUGCAUCUUGUACCCUCUGUGAAUGUGGCUCUGAGCUCGGAAAGGAAGAGUGUGCCCAUUUCCUGACAAUUAACAUUGACAUGACUGAGUGUGUCUAAUGUAAAC
Passer domesticus (house sparrow) is the source of this 449-nucleotide long non-coding RNA. RefSeq lists it as uncharacterized. The transcript has 3 exons. Lineage: Eukaryota; Metazoa; Chordata; Aves; Passeriformes; Passeridae. The record is from RefSeq and is a predicted model, not a curated record.